CGGUUAAAAAGCUCGUAGUUGGAUUUCUGUUGAGGAUGACCGGUCCGCUCUUUGAGCGCGUAUCUGGUUCAGCCUUGGCAUCCUCUUGGGGAACGCUACUGUGCUUGAUUGCAUGGGGCGGUAUUCAAGACUUUUACUUUGAGGAAAUUAGAGUGUUCACUGCAAGCGUUAGCAAUUGAAUACAUUAGCAUGGAAUAAUAAUAUAGGACCUUGGUACUAUUUUGUUGGUUUCUAGAACUAAGGUAAUGAUUAAUAGGGACAAUUGGGGGCAUUCGUAUUAACGCGUCAGAGGUGGAAUUCUUAGAUUGCGUUACGACGAACUACUGCGAAAGCAUUUGCCAAGGAUGUUUUCAUUGAUCAAGAACGAAAGUAUGGGGAUCGAAGACGCUUAGAUACCGUCGUAGUCUAUACCAUAAACUAUGCCAACUAGAGAUUGGAGGUCGUUCUCUUUAUGACUCCUUCAGCACCUUAUGAGAAAUCAAAGUCUUUGGGUUCCGGGGGGAGUAUGGUCGCAAGGCUGAAACUUAAAGGAAUUGACGGAAGGGCACCACCAGGAGUGGAGCCUGCGGCUUAAUUUGACUCAACACGGGAAAACUUACCAGGUCCAGACAUAGUAAGGAUUGACAGUUUGAUAGCUCUUUCUUGAUUCUAUGGGUGGUGGUGCAUG
Molecule: ribosomal RNA, 667 nt
Filed under: uncultured marine eukaryote
Lineage: Eukaryota
Description: SSU rRNA
Rfam family: Eukaryotic small subunit ribosomal RNA
Source: RNAcentral